AUGUGCUUUCCUCACCAUGCACUAGAAGUCAAGUUGAACUUUUUAGGAGCCUCUGCUGUGAUACAAGGGAAGCCCUUCAGCAUCCCCUUCAUCCAAAGCCAGAGAUCUCUCCCCGAUAGAUAGGACAUCCAUUAGUUCUUUCAUUGUGUGGAACUGAAUGUUUAUCUCCUACUGAAAUGUUAUGUAUACAAGAUGUGGGAAUUGGAUCUGAAUCCACUGCCUUGACUAUG
Molecule: non-coding RNA, 230 nt
Organism: Peromyscus maniculatus bairdii (prairie deer mouse)
Lineage: Eukaryota; Metazoa; Chordata; Mammalia; Rodentia; Cricetidae
Source: RefSeq, a predicted model, not a curated record